Drosophila subpulchrella is the source of this 357-nucleotide long non-coding RNA. RefSeq lists it as uncharacterized. NCBI's taxonomy places the organism in Eukaryota, Metazoa, Arthropoda, Insecta, Diptera, Drosophilidae. The transcript has 2 exons. The record is from RefSeq and is a predicted model, not a curated record.
CGACAAAAUAGGAUAAAUAUAUUAUAUGAACAAGUAAUAAAAUGCUUUUUAUUAUUGAUAAUUGUAGCAUUUGUUGCUCCCCCAAAGUGCACCUGAUUAUUUUCACUAGAUUACGGACGAAAUAAUUUCUAUUGAGGCAGAUUACAGAGGAAUACGUAUAUCAGUCACACAGGCCCCCGUACACCUCACCAGAUGAUAAGGCUUCUGGGUCGCCGUCCACGUCCCUCAACCUUUGGCAGUCCUUGGAUGCGAACAAAGGAACCCCUUGGUCUAGUGUAGAUAAAACUAACCUAUAGGCCAUGCAAAUACGCACAGUAGAACUUUAUCGAAAUAAACUGCCUGAACCACUUAACUUAA